Non-coding RNA from Pantherophis guttatus, 812 nucleotides. NCBI's taxonomy places the organism in Eukaryota, Metazoa, Chordata, Lepidosauria, Squamata, Colubridae. The record is from RefSeq and is a predicted model, not a curated record.
AGUACGGUAAUUGUUUUGAUCCAGGUGGGUUAACAAAACAUUUUGUGACUUUUUUUUGCUGUUGGGUUCCCUUUUUUUCCCCCUUUGUAAUCCCCCCCCCAAAUACUGCUUGCUUCUAUUAAUCUUUCUCUUUCACCUCAGUUGUUUCUCUUGUACAUUUUGCAGUUUGGAUACAUCGAUGGGAAAUAUAGAUUGGAUGAAGGACACCAAAUAUCUUGAGUCACCUUGGCCAAAUUUGGACCAGUCCUACCUGGUGCAAUUUAUCUCAAGGUGGGAGGAUAAGAAUAAGGUUACACAUCGGAUGAGCCAGCCGAAUGCCCAGCGCAACAACAACACCUGGAAGCAGCUGGCUGGAGAAACUCAUUUCUGGGUUUUCAUUCGCUGCGGACCAAGGUGAGGUCAGAACAACUGUGAGACCCCGUGAACUGAACUUCCAGGAUCACAGCGGCAAGUAGAAAUUCUAAGAAAUAAAGGACCUUUUAAGAUUGCAUUCCUUGAAGAUGGGGCCGCCAACGCUUUGAUGUUUCUUUUCAUUCUGGUUUCUAAUUUAUUUUCUUUGAGUGUGUCUGUCUGGUGUCUCUAAUAACCUUUUACAAAGCGUAAUAAAUGGCCCUUCCCUCCCUCCGUCUCUUCAGAGAAAGGCAGUUUUAAAGCGGGACAAGAAGUAGUUUCUUAACUUACCUGCCAUGUCAUGAGACGAUAUAUUUGCAUAUAUGGUACCUCAGUCCUUGUAAAUAUUGAUCACGUUUUCUUCGACCUUCCUCUCCUCAUAGGCUUCGAUACAUACGGCAGCUCAUUUAGUGACUGUUAAA